This 459-nucleotide ribosomal RNA is filed under the name uncultured bacterium. RNAcentral describes it as "partial 16S ribosomal RNA". It matches the Rfam family "Bacterial small subunit ribosomal RNA", at positions 338 to 795 of the family's 1533-position model. The record is from RNAcentral.
CCUACGGGAGGCAGCAGUGAGGAAUAUUGGUCAAUGGCCGAGAGGCUGAACCAGCCAAGUCGCGUGAGGGAAGACGGCCCUACGGGUUGUAAACCUCAUUUGUCGGGGAGCAAAGCGAACCACGUGUGGUUUAUUGAGAGUACCCGAAGAAAAAGCAUCGGCAAACUCCGUGCCAGCAGCCGCGGUAAUACGGAGGAUGCGAGCGUUAUCCGGAGUUAUUGGGUUAAAAGGGUGCGCAGGCGGAGGUGCAAGUCAGCGGUAAAAUUGCGGGGCGCCACCCCGUACUGCUGUUGAAACUACAUCGCUUGAGUGCGCGAGAAGUAUGCGGAAUGCGUGGUGUAGCGGUGAAAUGCAUAGAUAUCACGCGGAACACCAGUGGCGAAGGCAGCAUACCGGCGCGCAACUGACGCUCAUGCACGAAAGCGUGGGUAGCGAACAGGAUUAGAUACCCCUGUAGUC